CCUACGGGAGGCUGCAGUGAGGAAUAUUGGUCAAUGGACGGAAGUCUGAACCAGCCAUGCCGCGUGAAGGAAGACGGCUCUAUGAGUUGUAAACUGCUUUUGUAUAAGGGUAAACCUGAAUACGCAUACUCAGCUGCAAGUACUGUACGAAUAAGGAUCGGCUAACUCCGUGCCAGCAGCCGCGGUAAUACGGAGGAUCCAAGCGUUAUCCGGAUUUAUUGGGUUUAAGGGGAGCGUAGGCGGAUUGAUAAGUCAGUGGUGAAAGGUCCAGGCUCAACCUGGGAAAUGCCUUUGAUACUGUUGAUCUAGAGAGUAGAAGCGGUAGGCGGAAUGCAUGGUGUAGCGGUGAAAUGCUUAGAGAUCAGAAAGAACACCGAUUGCGAAGGCAGCUUACCAAUCUAUAUCUGACGUUGAGGCACGAAAGCGUGGGGAGCAAACAGGAUUAGAUACCCCAGUAGUC
This 460-nucleotide ribosomal RNA is filed under the name uncultured bacterium. RNAcentral's name for it is "partial 16S ribosomal RNA". It matches the Rfam family "Bacterial small subunit ribosomal RNA", at positions 338 to 795 of the family's 1533-position model. The record is from RNAcentral.